GCGGAAGUGGCAAAAUUGGUAGACGCACCAGAUUUAGGUUCUGGCGCCGCGAGGCGUAAGAGUUCAAGUCUCUUCUUCCGCACCA
This 85-nucleotide transfer RNA is filed under the name Vibrio cholerae. Its description in RNAcentral is "tRNA-Leu". It matches the Rfam family "tRNA". Rfam says of the family: Transfer RNA (tRNA) molecules are approximately 80 nucleotides in length. Lineage: Bacteria; Pseudomonadati; Pseudomonadota; Gammaproteobacteria; Vibrionales; Vibrionaceae. The record is from RNAcentral.